UGGAACAGGACCUUGUAAUGCUGUAUAUAC
RNAcentral lists this non-coding RNA (30 nucleotides) under Mus musculus (house mouse). Lineage: Eukaryota; Metazoa; Chordata; Mammalia; Rodentia; Muridae. RNAcentral also lists the same sequence under 1 other name. The record is from RNAcentral.